UGGAAUAGCUCAGUUGGUAGAGCACUUCACUCGUAAUGAAGGGGCCGUCGGUUCAAGUCCGAUUUCC
This 67-nucleotide transfer RNA is filed under the name Luxibacter massiliensis. It matches the Rfam family "tRNA". From Rfam's summary of the family: Transfer RNA (tRNA) molecules are approximately 80 nucleotides in length. Their secondary structure includes four short double-helical elements and three loops (D, anti-codon, and T loops). Further hydrogen bonds mediate the characteristic L-shaped molecular structure. tRNAs have two regions of fundamental functional importance: the anti-codon, which is responsible for specific mRNA codon recognition, and the 3' end, to which the tRNAs corresponding amino acid is attached (by aminoacyl-tRNA synthetases). tRNAs cope with the degeneracy of the genetic code in two manners: having more than one tRNA (with a specific anti-codon) for a particular amino acid; and 'wobble' base-pairing, i.e. permitting non-standard base-pairing at the 3rd anti-codon position. Lineage: Bacteria; Bacillati; Bacillota; Clostridia; Lachnospirales; Lachnospiraceae. The record is from RNAcentral. RNAcentral also lists the same sequence under 1 other name.